This 300-nucleotide ribosomal RNA is filed under the name uncultured Paenibacillus sp. RNAcentral's name for it is "bacterial SSU rRNA". It matches the Rfam family "Bacterial small subunit ribosomal RNA", at positions 496 to 795 of the family's 1533-position model. The record is from RNAcentral. Lineage: Bacteria; Bacillati; Bacillota; Bacilli; Caryophanales; Paenibacillaceae.
GGAAACACAUGUCCGGCAGCCGGGUGUAUCAGGAGGUUGCGAGCGUUAAACGGAAUUACUGGGCGUAAAGGUGUCGCAGGAGGCAUCGCAAGUCAGUCGUGAAAUCCCCGGGCUUAACCUGGGAAUGGCGCUUGAAACUACGGUGCUGGAGUAUGGCAGAGGGAGGUGGAAUUCCACGUGUAGCGGUGAAAUGCGUAGAGAUGUGGAGGAACACCGAUGGCGAAGGCAGCCUCCUGGGCCAAUACUGACGCUCAUGCACGAAAGCGUGGGGAGCAAACAGGAUUAGAUACCCGUGUAGUC